UCUAGCAACCAGCGGGCGCAAGAAACCCUAGCUCUUUCUCCCUGCGCUCUUACGCCGCCGCCACCCCCGCGAGGAGAGAACUUCGACAGCAGCCGUCCCCGUUAGAUUCCCCUCGCGAGCCAGACCCCCUCCUCUCCUCCCGCUCCCUUUCGCCGUGCGCUCACCGGAUCUGCUGGCAGAAGACGAUUUCGGGCAUCCCCAGGCUUGGUCGGCCGUCCAACGGCCUCGAGCCUGUCUUCUCCCGACGACAUCAGUCGAGUCCGUGCGGUUCAUGAUGGCGUCCGCCACGGGUUUCCUCGUCGUCUCGUCCACCGCGGGCUCCCGCAUCCUCUCGCUCUCAUCCGGCUUCCUACGCCGGGGGAGGCGCAUCGACGCUCGGUGACGCCGGAUCUUGUUGAAGAAGACGACCCCCGGCUCCCCCAGGCUAGUCCGGCCGGAUUGUUCUUCAUUCGCUCCCCCGACGAAGGUCUGCUCCACAUCUGCCACCCGUCUAUCCCUUUUCCCUCAGGCUCAGACGUUUCUUUCUUAAUCUUCCUCUUAUGGGCUGCUUCUUUGCAUGAACCUAUGACGUUGAUUUGCGGUGGGAACCCGAAGACGGCGACCUCCUCGCUUUGCUGGGGCAUGAACCAACGACCAGGGACCAGACCCAGACCUUGCCUUUCGCUUCAGGGGCCUCCUCGACCAGAUCCCCUCCGACUUGGUCUUCCUCACCGACGCUGGCUUGACGACUGGCCGAACUGCUACGCAGACAACCUGAUCAGAAGUAGAGCAAGGGGAACCAAAAGGAGAAAAAAGGCGCCGUUAUCUAGCCACACCAACUGCUGCCCAAUAAGGUGCCGAAGUACAAGCAGAUAAUCCUCUGUCAGUGCUCCAAGGUGAAGAUCGGCAAGUUCCUGGAAUAAGCGCUGCCUGCUUGAACUGGCCUGCUUCUUGACCUCCUUCCACAAGGAUAGAGCUAAGAAACUCCUAUCCUCGAUGAAUUUAACGCAAUGAAACAUGAAGUCUUACUGUGCACAUGAAUGCAUACCUUUUCCCCAAUGCAUUUGUUACUUCAUUAGUAAAAUAAAUAUAUGCCAUGCCUUCGGUACAAUCUUUGCCAUGUAAUCUGUAGUGUUUAAUUCCUUUCCAGUAAAUUGGCUCACCUUUUAUUCUCCCUGAUGCCAAAUUGUAAUCAGCUAGUAGGUACUUCAGGACUAACAGCUUUGACAGUAGAAACACAGGUCAUUGAGAUGGCUUGUACCUUUGAUAUGGUGUUCAAUACAAUAUCUGCUAUACAUCUUACUGGUUUUUAAAAUGAAUCGUAUGUUUUUUGCUAGUCGUUAUUGGAUUAAUGUUGUUAUUUUCACCAUAGCAGUAGUUCCUGUACUUCUAGUGAAGAUUGUUUUUUCCUAAAAAUAUUUUACUUCAAACUCCAAACUCUGAACCUCCUCUGGCUGUGUGUGCUCUGCAGGUCAGUGAUUUCAUUCACAAAACAAACAACCUUGUACUCCUCGUGGCAGAUUCUCUUCAUGGAGAAGAGCAUCCUAAACAAGAUGUCAUGGACCAUCACUGUUCACACUUAAUCAUGGUGUGGUUUGCCAAGGCCAACGGUAGAAACAUGGUUUAUGUCAGCUUUUGAUUCUCCCUUCUCUCCUUUGCCGACAGUGCGUUUACAAAUUAAUGAGCUCCAGGCCGAGGAAGUUUAAGAAUCUUGAAGUUGUGAAGCCCAGCUCAGCAAAUACUAGCUACUUAUUAUGAUAGUUAGCAUAUUUGGGUUGUAAUUUUACUGUAAUGGUUGUAAUGGAGUAAAGUUAGCAGAUAUUUGAAGAUUUCCACGUGUUCUCUCUAUCUGUUUGAAAUAUCAUUAUGUUUGAUCUAAUAAUUUGUGGAAU
Non-coding RNA from Lolium perenne, 1871 nucleotides. The record is from RefSeq and is a predicted model, not a curated record. NCBI's taxonomy places the organism in Eukaryota, Viridiplantae, Streptophyta, Magnoliopsida, Poales, Poaceae.